GAGCCCGGGCGUUGGUGGCGCAC
This 23-nucleotide non-coding RNA is filed under the name Cricetulus griseus (Chinese hamster). The record is from RNAcentral. Lineage: Eukaryota; Metazoa; Chordata; Mammalia; Rodentia; Cricetidae.